This 80-nucleotide transfer RNA is filed under the name Sphaerosporella brunnea. It matches the Rfam family "tRNA". From Rfam's summary of the family: Transfer RNA (tRNA) molecules are approximately 80 nucleotides in length. Their secondary structure includes four short double-helical elements and three loops (D, anti-codon, and T loops). The record is from Rfam by way of RNAcentral. Lineage: Eukaryota; Fungi; Ascomycota; Pezizomycetes; Pezizales; Pyronemataceae.
GGCCGCGUGGCCCAAUGGCAAGGCGCUUGACUACGAUGUGUGUAAUCAAGAGAUUGCAGGUUCGAUCCCUGCCGUGGUCA